Molecule: ribosomal RNA, 497 nt
Filed under: uncultured bacterium
Lineage: Bacteria
Description: partial 16S ribosomal RNA
Rfam family: Bacterial small subunit ribosomal RNA
Source: RNAcentral
GAUGAACGCUGGCGGCGUGCCUAAUACAUGCAAGUCGAGCGAACGGACGAGAAGCUUGCUUUUCUGAUGUUAGCGGCGGACGGGUGAGUAACACGUGGAUAACCUACCUAUAAGACUGGGAUAACUUCGGGAAACCGGAGCUAAUACCGGAUAAUAUUUUGAACCGCAUGGUUCAAAAGUGAAAGACGGUCUUGCUGUCACUUAUAGAUGGAUCCGCGCUGCAUUAGCUAGUUGGUAAGGUAACGGCUUACCAAGGCAACGAUGCAUAGCCGACCUGAGAGGGUGAUCGGCCACACUGGGACUGAGACACGGUCCAGACUCCUACGGGAGGCCGCAGUAGGGAAUCUUCCGCAAUGGGCGAAAGCCUGACGGAGCAACGCCGCGUGAGUGAUGAAGGUCUUCGGAUCGUAAAACUCUGUUAUUAGGGAAGAACAUAUGUGUAAGUAACUGUGCACAUCUUGACGGUACCUAAUCAGAAAGCCACGGCUAACUACGUG